GAACGGGUGAGUAACACGUGGGUAACCUGCCCAUCAGAAGGGGAUAACACUUGGAAACAGGUGCUAAUACCGUAUAACAAUCAAAACCGCAUGGUUUUGAUUUGAAAGGCGCUUUCGGGUGUCGCUGAUGGAUGGACCCGCGGUGCAUUAGCUAGUUGGUGAGGUAACGGCUCACCAAGGCCACGAUGCAUAGCCGACCUGAGAGGGUGAUCGGCCACAUUGGGACUGAGACACGGCCCAAACUCCUACGGGAGGCAGCAGUAGGGAAUCUUCGGCAAUGGACGAAAGUCUGACCGAGCAACGCCGCGUGAGUGAAGAAGGUUUUCGGAUCGUAAAACUCUGUUGUUAGAGAAGAACAAGGAUGAGAGUAACUGUUCAUCCCUUGACGGUAUCUAACCAGAAAGCCACGGCUAACUACGUGCCAGCAGCCGCGGUAAUACGUAGGUGGCAAGCGUUGUCCGGAUUUAUUGGGCGUAAAGCGAGCGCAGGCGGUUUCUUAAGUCUGAUGUGAAAGCCCCCGGCUCAACCGGGGAGGGUCAUUGGAAACUGGGAGACUUGAGUGCAGAAGAGGAGAGUGGAAUUCCAUGUGUAGCGGUGAAAUGCGUAGAUAUAUGGAGGAACACCAGUGGCGAACGCGGCUCUCUGGUGUG
Molecule: ribosomal RNA, 650 nt
Filed under: Enterococcus faecium
Lineage: Bacteria; Bacillati; Bacillota; Bacilli; Lactobacillales; Enterococcaceae
Description: bacterial SSU rRNA
Rfam family: Bacterial small subunit ribosomal RNA
Source: RNAcentral